AUGGCGGUGGCUGACGGCCUGCUGAAACUGGAGCCCCCAGGCACUGGGAAGCAGCCCAGGAUGCCUUCGCGAGCACGGCUGCGACACCCCGGCGGCGAUGAGCUGCCAGCGCGGGGACAAUGGCCAUCAUCUGUCUGGCAGCAGGGAGCCGGCGGGACAGACGGACGCUGCAGACGCGCAGCAGGCUGCGGCUGGGCCCAGCAGGGCGGGCAGCUAAUGACACGCCGGGGCGAGGAGUGGGGGAGCUGCGGGGACCUUUGGGCUGCUCCCGGGCACCAGCUUUGCUCCCUCAUUAGCGGCUCGGCUCCCCGAGCACGGCAAUCCCAGCACCUGGGGGCCGCAGCGCCCGCCCGCUGCCUGCAGCACACCAGCCCCCCCCGCCCAGCUCGCUGGCCUCCGCUCCCGAAAAGCCAUUCUCCUCCUCGCAGGAUAAACAGCGCCUGCCGCCCAUCUGCGCUGCGGCGGCGUUCACCCCUGGGCGGCUCUGCUUACAGAAAAGGCCAGCUCCAACCCAAACAGACGCUUCCGCUGCAACCUAAUCCUGCCGCCGCCGCCGUGGCCGGGAAGGGCCAGCUGCAGCGCUGCUGCCCGGCACCCCUGGGAGCCAGCCUGCGCCCCGGCCCCGGGUGGGUGGGGGGCCCGCCGUCCCCCCCCGCAGCCGGGCACCCACUCGGGGUGGUGCUGGCCCCAGGGAGGGGUGCACGGCGCACGGCUGCUGCCCGGGGCGGAUGGACAGGGCCGGGGGUGCUCGUUUACCUCGGAGGAGCGCGGCCAAGGUCGCGCGGCCGCCUGCGCGGCUGGGCAGGGCGCCGGGGGGAGGCCGCGGGGCGGGAAGGGGACUCAGGCCCGGAGGAGGGGUGCAGCCGGACCCGGGCGGUCGGUGCACGGAAGCGGGGGGUGCCGGGCUCGCAGGGCAGCCCAGCCCAGCUGCCACCCCCCGGCCGGGCACAGCAGUCGUCCCCAGCCCGCUGCAGCCGCAGCGCUGCGCCUCAGCCAAAAGCCCCCUCCCUGGCUUAUCUCCACGGGGACCUAUUUUGGGCAGGAAUGAGGAAGCUCUCCAUUCCCUUGCUAAAAAUAGGGACCUUUCUCCGAGCGGGGUCACUGCAUUCACACUGGCGAGCGGGGCUGGGAAGGAAGAGGGGGGCGGCAGGAAGCUGGGGCCCCGCGAGCCCCCGUCCCGCAGCACGGGGCGGCCGCUUCCCCGGCCCGGGGGCCUUCGCCGCGGGGACCCCUCGCACGGCGGGUCCCGCCGGGGUGGCCCCUCGCGGGAACGUGCCCCCGGCCCCCCCCGAGGUGCUGGGGCAGGGCCAGGCCUUGCCCCGGCGGAGCAGGGGGGGCCGGGACGCCUGGGUCCCUCCCCACCGCGGCAUCUCCCCACCCGCGGCCUUGCCCCGCAUCCUCCGAGACGGGGCGGCGGGGAAGGCGCCCGCGGGGGGAUCCUGGCGCCGGCGUGUGGCCUCGCAAAGGGGCUCCAACACCUCCAUCUAG
This 1488-nucleotide long non-coding RNA is filed under the name Apteryx haastii (Great spotted kiwi). RNAcentral's name for it is "lncRNA (ENSAHAG00000013878.1)". The record is from RNAcentral. Lineage: Eukaryota; Metazoa; Chordata; Aves; Apterygiformes; Apterygidae.